GUAGGGACCAAGCGUUGUUCGGAUUUACUGGGCGUAAAGGGCGCGUAGGCGGCGUGUUAAGUCAGCUGUGAAAUCUCUGAGCUCAACUCAGAACGGCCAGCUGAUACUGAUGUGCUAGAGUGCAGAAAGGGCAAUCGGAAUUCUUGGUGUAGCGGUGAAAUGCGUAGAUAUCAAGAGGAACACCUGAGGCGAAGGCGGGUUGCUAGGCUGACACUGACGCUGAGGCGCGAAAGCCAGGGGAGCAAACGGGAUUAGAUACCCCGGUAGUCCUGGCCCUAAACGAUGAAUACUUGGUGUCUGGAGUUUUUAGUGCUCCGGGUGCCGUCGCUAACGUUUUAAGUAUUCCGCCUGGGGAGUACGCACGCAAGUGUGAA
This 374-nucleotide ribosomal RNA is filed under the name uncultured bacterium. Its description in RNAcentral is "bacterial SSU rRNA". It matches the Rfam family "Bacterial small subunit ribosomal RNA", at positions 527 to 898 of the family's 1533-position model. The record is from RNAcentral.